Molecule: ribosomal RNA, 433 nt
Filed under: uncultured bacterium
Lineage: Bacteria
Description: partial 16S ribosomal RNA
Rfam family: Bacterial small subunit ribosomal RNA
Source: RNAcentral
AACGAACGCUGGCGGCAUGCCUAACACAUGCAAGUCGAACGAGACCUUCGGGUCUAGUUGCGCACGGGUGCGUAACGCGUGGGAACCUUCCCUUAGGUUCGGAAUAACUCCCCGAAAGGGGUGCUAAUACCGGAUAAUGUCUUCGGACCAAAGAUUUAUCGCCUUUGGAUGGGCCCGCGUUGGAUUAGCUAGUUGGUAGGGUAAAAGCCUACCAAGGCGACGAUCCAUAGCUGGUCUGAGAGGAUGAUCAGCCACACUGGGGCUGAGACACGGCCCAGACUCCUACGGGAGGCAGCAGUGGGGAAUAUUGGACGAUGGGCGAGAGCCUGAUCCAGCAAGGCCGCGUGAGUGAUGAAGGCCUUAGGGUUGUAAAGCUCUUUUACCCGGGAUGAUAAUGACAGUACCGGGAGAAUAAGCUCCGGCUAACUCCGUG